GACGAACGCUGGCGGCGUGCUUAACACAUGCAAGUCGAACGGUGAAGCGCUUGCCUUUUUGGUGGGUGUGGAUGAGUGGCGAACGGGUGAGUAACACGUGAGUAACCUGCCCUCUUCUUCUGGAUAACCUCAUGAAAGUGGGGCUAAUACGGGGUAUUCCGGGUCUGUCGCAUGGCGGGUUUGGGAAAGAUUGCGCCUUUGGGUGUUUUCGGUGGGGGAUGGGCUCGCGGCCUAUCAGCUUGUUGGUGGGGUGAUGGCCUACCAAGGCGGUGACGGGUAGCCGGCCUGAGAGGGUGGACGGCCACACUGGGACUGAGACACGGCCCAGACGCCUGCGGGAGGCAGCAGUGGGGAAUAUUGCACAAUGGGCGCAAGCCUGAUGCAGCGACGCCGCGUGAGGGAUGGAGGCCUUCGGGUUGUGAACCUCUUUCGCCAGUGAAGCAGGCCUGCUCCUGUGUGGGUGGGUUGACGGUAGCUGGAGAAGAAGCGCCGGCUAACUACGUG
This 504-nucleotide ribosomal RNA is filed under the name uncultured bacterium. Its description in RNAcentral is "partial 16S ribosomal RNA". It matches the Rfam family "Bacterial small subunit ribosomal RNA", at positions 28 to 507 of the family's 1533-position model. The record is from RNAcentral.